AGGAAGUAAAAGUCGUAACAAGGUUUCCGUAGGUGAACCUGCGGAAGGAUCAUUACCGAACUGUCAACAGGAGUUGUUGCUGGUCCUCAAACGGGGGCAUGUGCACGCUCUGUUUACACAUCCACUCACACCUGUGCACCCACUGUAGUUCUAUGGCCUGGGGGGCUCUGUCCUCUUGCUGUGGUUCUAUGUCUUUACACACACACACUGUAAUAAAGUUUCAUGGAAUGCAUGACGCGUUUAACGCAAUACAAUACAACUUUCAGCAACGGAUCUCUUGGCUCUCGCAUCGAUGAAGAACGCAGCGAAAUGCGAUAAGUAAUGUGAAUUGCAGAAUUCAGUGAAUCAUCGAAUCUUUGAACGCACCUUGCGCCCUUUGGGUAUCCAGAGGGCAUGCCUGUUUGAGUAUCAUGAACACCUCAACUCUCAUGGCUUUGCCGUGAUGAGCUUGGACUUUGGAGGUCUUGCUGGCCUGUGGUCAGCUCCUCUCAAAUGAAUCAGCUUGCCAGUGUUUGGUGGCGUCACAGGUGUGAUAACUAUCUACGCUUGUGGUUUUCCACCAGGUAACCUUCAGCGAUGGAGGUUCGCUGGAGCUCAUAAACGUCUCUCCUCAGCGAGGACAGCUUCUUGAACGUUUGAUCUCAAAUCAGGUAGGGCUACCCGCUGAACUUAAGCAUAUCA
RNAcentral lists this ribosomal RNA (681 nucleotides) under uncultured Thelephorales. RNAcentral describes it as "eukaryotic LSU rRNA". The stretch from base 258 to 411 matches the Rfam family "5.8S ribosomal RNA". Lineage: Eukaryota; Fungi; Basidiomycota; Agaricomycetes; Thelephorales. The record is from RNAcentral.